RNAcentral lists this ribosomal RNA (390 nucleotides) under Escherichia coli. Its description in RNAcentral is "bacterial SSU rRNA". It matches the Rfam family "Bacterial small subunit ribosomal RNA", at positions 194 to 579 of the family's 1533-position model. The record is from RNAcentral. Lineage: Bacteria; Pseudomonadati; Pseudomonadota; Gammaproteobacteria; Enterobacterales; Enterobacteriaceae.
GGGGGACCUUCGGGCCUCUUGCCAUCGGAUGUGCCCAGAUGGGAUUAGCUAGUAGGUGGGGUAACGGCUCACCUAGGCGACGAUCCCUAGCUGGUCUGAGAGGAUGACCAGCCACACUGGAACUGAGACACGGUCCAGACUCCUACGGGAGGCAGCAGUGGGGAAUAUUGCACAAUGGGCGCAAGCCUGAUGCAGCCAUGCCGCGUGUAUGAAGAAGGCCUUCGGGUUGUAAAGUACUUUCAGCGGGGAGGAAGGGAGUAAAGUUAAUACCUUUGCUCAUUGACGUUACCCGCAGAAGAAGCACCGGCUAACUCCGUGCCAGCAGCCGCGGUAAUACGGAGGGUGCAAGCGUUAAUCGGAAUUACUGGGCGUAAAGCGCACGCAGGCCGU